This 326-nucleotide long non-coding RNA is filed under the name Sinocyclocheilus grahami. RNAcentral describes it as "lncRNA (ENSSGRG00000006856.1)". Lineage: Eukaryota; Metazoa; Chordata; Actinopteri; Cypriniformes; Cyprinidae. The record is from RNAcentral.
UCUUGACAAAAGUUGUGCACUCUACAAAAAUCAUGAAUUAAAACUAGAAAUUUGAAUGAGACACUGGAAGAAGGUUCAGAGAGUAAGGCAUGUGUUUGGACAGAAGCAGAGCUCUGGGACGUGUGGACAGACUUUGACUGUAAUGAUGGACGUCUGCUCAAGGACAGAAGCAUAACCGCUGCUGGACAUCACUCUGGGACUCAGGGGGGGACCCGAAUCAUCCUCACCCCUUCAUUCACACAACACUCACUCAUAUCACAGAGAUCUGGCUGGGAUUGAACCAGCGACCUCUGAACCAUGAGGCAGCGCUCUUACCUGUGAGCCAC